CGGGGCGUGGCGCAGUUUGGCUAGCGUGCUAGACUGGGGGUCUAGAGGUCGCAGGUUCAAGUCCUGUCGCCCCGA
RNAcentral lists this transfer RNA (75 nucleotides) under Phycisphaerae bacterium. Its description in RNAcentral is "tRNA-Pro". It matches the Rfam family "tRNA". From Rfam's summary of the family: Transfer RNA (tRNA) molecules are approximately 80 nucleotides in length. Their secondary structure includes four short double-helical elements and three loops (D, anti-codon, and T loops). Further hydrogen bonds mediate the characteristic L-shaped molecular structure. tRNAs have two regions of fundamental functional importance: the anti-codon, which is responsible for specific mRNA codon recognition, and the 3' end, to which the tRNAs corresponding amino acid is attached (by aminoacyl-tRNA synthetases). tRNAs cope with the degeneracy of the genetic code in two manners: having more than one tRNA (with a specific anti-codon) for a particular amino acid; and 'wobble' base-pairing, i.e. permitting non-standard base-pairing at the 3rd anti-codon position. The record is from RNAcentral. Lineage: Bacteria; Pseudomonadati; Planctomycetota; Phycisphaerae.